CUCCCCGCGCGGCGGACAGCCCGGGCGCCCUUCCUCUCUGCGGGACUGCAGGUCUAUCCGCUAAGCGCGCGUGACCAAAAACGGCUCUCAGCGGGUCCCAGCUGACGGAAGCUGACAAGUUUAUUUAAUCCCUGAACCUGGAUCCAAGGCAUCUCCCUGUAGAAAACAUCAGACCGGGGCAGAGAUUGACAAAGCAACCCAAAGCAGCAGCUGCCAACGGCCGCUGUGCCCACCUCAUCAGCAGCUAAAGAGUAUAAUUUUAAAAAAAGUCACAGAAGAAUGUGGAGACACUUAGCAAAACGGACUCUCAUAAGAGUGUUCGAUGGUGCUGCUACUAAUGAAAGAUUUGAGGAAACUCCUAAGGUCCCUCCAGUGUACAACAAUUUGGAACUUCCAUUUUCUCAACAACUGCUCUUCCAAGAUGCUGCCUCAUUUCAGAGCCAUGUUUUACUCAUGAGCUGGUCCUGUCCAGAAAACAGCCAAUGCUCAUUCCCGACACUUUCUUGUCACUGCUCUUUUCUGUUCCCUAUUUUGUCAGUAAGGAAGUAAACAACCGCUAAAACAACCCUCUAACAACAGAAGACCCUCAUGAGAACACCAGGCAGCAGAAGCUUCUUUAGCAGUAAAAGAUAUCUGGAUAUUCAUAUUUUGUUCCAUGAUCUUCAACAUUAAAUAAAUAAACUUAAUAUUCAAGUCUCCUUCUGCAUUCCUAGA
Molecule: long non-coding RNA, 714 nt
Filed under: Homo sapiens (human)
Lineage: Eukaryota; Metazoa; Chordata; Mammalia; Primates; Hominidae
Description: HSALNT0335831
Source: RNAcentral